GUGGGGAAUCUUAGACAAUGGGGGAAACCCUGAUCUAGCCAUGCCGCGUGAUCGAUGAAUGCCUUAGGGUUGUAAAGAUCUUUCAGGUGGGAAGAUAAUGACUGUACCACCAGAAGAAGCCCCGGCUAACUCCGUGCCAGCAGCCGCGGUAAUACGGAGGGGGCUAGCGUUGUUCGGAAUUACUGGGCGUAAAGCGCACGUAGGCGGAUUGGAAAGUUGGGGGUGAAAUCCCGGGGCUCAACCCCGGAACUGCCUUUGGAACUCCCAGUCUUGAGUUCGAGAGAGGUGAGUGGAAUUCCGAGUGUAGAGGUGAAAUUCGUAGAUAUUCGGAGGAACACCAGUGGCGAAGGCGGCUCACUGGCUCGAUACUGACGCUGAGGUGCGAAAGCGUGGGGAGCAAACAGGAUUAGAAACCCCAGUAGUCC
RNAcentral lists this ribosomal RNA (425 nucleotides) under uncultured bacterium. Its description in RNAcentral is "partial 16S ribosomal RNA". It matches the Rfam family "Bacterial small subunit ribosomal RNA", at positions 354 to 796 of the family's 1533-position model. The record is from RNAcentral.